RNAcentral lists this long non-coding RNA (278 nucleotides) under Coturnix japonica (Japanese quail). RNAcentral's name for it is "lncRNA (ENSCJPG00005003769.1)". The record is from RNAcentral. Lineage: Eukaryota; Metazoa; Chordata; Aves; Galliformes; Phasianidae.
UAGUAGAAAAACUGCCUGCAAAACAAAGCCAGAAGAUAUCAAACAUCCUAAGAUCUGCUUUCACAAAUCAAAAAGCAUACUGCUGUAAAUCCUUGUGGGACACAGUAUGGGAGCCCUUCCAGGAUGUGACCUUUAGAUAUUGACAGAGGAGUUGUAUAUGCAUAUAUUCUCAUAUGGCAAGGGGAACGAUGGGCACAGGAGAGAAGGAAACUGCACCCAGCAUAACAGGGAUAGUAAAAUCGGGUGACCAUUACAAUAUCUGCACUGAGAAAAUUUGA